Long non-coding RNA from Hylaeus anthracinus, 397 nucleotides. RefSeq lists it as uncharacterized. The transcript has 2 exons. The record is from RefSeq and is a predicted model, not a curated record. NCBI's taxonomy places the organism in Eukaryota, Metazoa, Arthropoda, Insecta, Hymenoptera, Colletidae.
GGUGAGUAAAAAUUACUUUUAAAAAACGAAGGGGAAAUAAAAUAUAUAUAUAUAUAUAUUAUGUCGAUUAAACGUGCUUUGCAUGGUGAUAACAAAAGAACGAAGAAUUUUCAAUAUAUGCCCGGUAUAAAAACAAGGCACUUGUUUAAAACGACAAAAAAAAAGAUGGUUUAAAGAAACUUUUUUUGUUCUGAAAUAAUUUUGAUUUGAUACUUCUAUGUCUUCACUGUAAGCAUGUAAAAGAUUUUUUACAGGUUUCGGCGCUUUGGAAACGUUCUGCUACCGGACGCUUCUAAACACCACAAUACUACUACAAAUAUGUGUAUAAUGUAUAUUGAUAUGUGUUAUAUCGAUUAUGUAUAUCAUAUGUAAUAUAAAUUUUCUAUUUUAAUAUUUA